GACGAACGCUGGCGGCGUGCUUAACACAUGCAAGUCGAACGGUAAGGCCCUUCGGGGUACACGAGUGGCGAACGGGUGAGUAACACGUAGGUGAUCUGCCCUGCACUUCGGGAUAAGCCUGGGAAACUGGGUCUAAUACCGGAUAGGACCACUGCCUGCAUGGGUGGUGGUGGAAAGCUUUUGCGGUGUGGGAUGGGCCCGCGGCCUAUCAGCUUGUUGGUGGGGCGAUGGCCUACCAAGGCGACGACGGGUAGCCGGCCUGAGAGGGUGACCGGCCACGCUGGGACUGAGAUACGGCCCAGACUCCUACGGGAGGCAGCAGUGGGAAUAUUGCACAAUGGGCGCAAGCCUGAUGCAGCGACGCCGCGUGAGGGAUGACGGCCUUCGGGUUGUAAACCUCUUUCAGCACCGACGAAGCGCAAGUGACGGUAGGUGCAGAAGAAGGACCGGCCAACUACGUGCCAGCCGCCGCCGUAA
RNAcentral lists this ribosomal RNA (477 nucleotides) under uncultured bacterium. Its description in RNAcentral is "partial 16S ribosomal RNA". It matches the Rfam family "Bacterial small subunit ribosomal RNA", at positions 28 to 523 of the family's 1533-position model. The record is from RNAcentral.